UCUCCCUCUCUCUCUCUCUCUCUCUCACACACACACACACACACACACACACACACACAGUGUAUGUGCACGCGCAACAUUGGACACUGGGCCCCUUCUCUCCUCCUCUUAUCUUCACACACAGCCCUCCUCUUCUCAUCUUUACAAACAAACACACACACACAUACUUUAACGGAAAGAAGGCUCUGUCGCAAUUCUUUUUAAAGUAAACUGUGUGUAAAUCAUCAACUGCCUGUGUAUCAGCUGAUUUCUACACCAGCUUUACAUCCUGAGCAGAAGAUUAUCAUGAAGAGGACGGACCCUUGAUGCUCUGCCUUCUUGCAUUACCAAUAUAUACA
Molecule: long non-coding RNA, 338 nt
Organism: Clarias gariepinus (North African catfish)
Lineage: Eukaryota; Metazoa; Chordata; Actinopteri; Siluriformes; Clariidae
Exons: 3
Source: RefSeq, a predicted model, not a curated record